AAUGGGCGCAAGCCUGAUGCAGCCAUGCCGCGUGUAUGAAGAAGGCCUUCGGGUUGUAAAGUACUUUCAGUCGGGAGGAAGGUGUCAAGAUUAAUAACCUUGGCAAUUGACGUUACCGACAGAAGAAGCACCGGCUAACUCCGUGCCAGCAGCCGCGGUAAUACGGAGGGUGCAAGCGUUAAUCGGAAUUACUGGGCGUAAAGCGCACGCAGGCGGUUGAUUGAGUCAGAUGUGAAAUCCCCGGGCUUAACCCGGGAAUUGCAUCUGAUACUGGUCAGCUAGAGUCUUGUAGAGGGGGGUAGAAUUCCAUGUGUAGCGGUGAAAUGCGUAGAGAUGUGGAGGAACACCGAUGGCGAAGGCAGCCCCCUGGGUUGACACUGACGCUCAUGCACGAAAGCGUGGGUAGCAAA
RNAcentral lists this ribosomal RNA (410 nucleotides) under uncultured bacterium. RNAcentral describes it as "bacterial SSU rRNA". It matches the Rfam family "Bacterial small subunit ribosomal RNA", at positions 370 to 772 of the family's 1533-position model. The record is from RNAcentral.